CCUACGGGAGGCAGCAGUAGGGAAUAUUGCACAAUGGGGGAAACCCUGAUGCAGCAAAGGCGCGUGGACGAUGAAGGGGUGCGGAUUGUAAACUCCUUUUGUUAGAGAAGAUAAUGACGGUAUCUAACGAAUAAGCACGGGCUAACUCCGUGCCAGCAGCCGCGGUACUACGGAGGGUGCAGGCGUUACUCGGACUCACUGGGCGUACAGGGCGCGUAGGCGGGAUAGCAAGUCAGAUGUGAAAUCCUAUGGCUUAACCAUAGAACUGCAUUUGAAACUGUUAUUCUAGAGUAUGGGAGAGGUAGGUGGAAUUCUUGGUGUAGGGGUAAAAUGCGUAGAGAUCAGGAGGAAUACUCAUUGCGAAGGCGACCUGCUGGAACAUAACUGACGCUGAUGCGCGAAAGCGUGGGGAGCAAACAGGAUUAGAUACCCCAGUAGUC
RNAcentral lists this ribosomal RNA (440 nucleotides) under uncultured bacterium. RNAcentral's name for it is "partial 16S ribosomal RNA". It matches the Rfam family "Bacterial small subunit ribosomal RNA", at positions 338 to 795 of the family's 1533-position model. The record is from RNAcentral.